CAUACCUACGGGGCGCAGCAGUGAGGAAUAUUGGUCAAUGGGCGGGAGCCUGAACCAGCCAAGUCGCGUGAGGGAAGACGGUCCUAUGGAUUGUAAACCUCUUUAGGCGGGGAGCAAUGCCGGGCACGCGUGUCCGGAGGGAGAGUACCCGCAGAAUAAGCAUCGGCUAACUCCGUGCCAGCAGCCGCGGUAAUACGGAGGAUGCGAGCGUUAUCCGGAUUUAUUGGGUUUAAAGGGUGCGAAGGCGGAUUUUUAAGUCAGCGUGAAAAUGACCGGGCUCAACCC
RNAcentral lists this ribosomal RNA (285 nucleotides) under uncultured bacterium. RNAcentral describes it as "partial 16S ribosomal RNA". It matches the Rfam family "Bacterial small subunit ribosomal RNA", at positions 334 to 615 of the family's 1533-position model. The record is from RNAcentral.